Molecule: ribosomal RNA, 681 nt
Filed under: Plantibacter sp. LL3
Lineage: Bacteria; Bacillati; Actinomycetota; Actinomycetes; Micrococcales; Microbacteriaceae
Description: bacterial SSU rRNA
Rfam family: Bacterial small subunit ribosomal RNA
Source: RNAcentral
GGGUCCUUGGGGCGUGCUUACCAUGCAAGUCGAACGAUGAAGCCCAGCUUGCUGGGUGGAUUAGUGGCGAACGGGUGAGUAACACGUGAGUAACCUGCCCUUGACUCUGGGAUAAGCGCUGGAAACGGCGUCUAAUACCGGAUACGAGCUUCCACCGCAUGGUGAGUUGCUGGAAAGAAUUUCGGUCAAGGAUGGACUCGCGGCCUAUCAGGUAGUUGGUGAGGUAACGGCUCACCAAGCCGACGACGGGUAGCCGGCCUGAGAGGGUGACCGGCCACACUGGGACUGAGACACGGCCCAGACUCCUACGGGAGGCAGCAGUGGGGAAUAUUGCACAAUGGGCGCAAGCCUGAUGCAGCAACGCCGCGUGAGGGACGAAGGCCUUCGGGUCGUAAACCUCUUUUAGCAGGGAAGAAGCGAAAGUGACGGUACCUGCAGAAAAAGCACCGGCUAACUACGUGCCAGCAGCCGCGGUAAUACGUAGGGUGCGAGCGUUAUCCGGAAUUAUUGGGCGUAAAGAGCUCGUAGGCGGUUUGUCACGUCUGCUGUGAAAACUGGAGGCUCAACCUUCAGCCUGCAGUGGGUACGGGCAGACUAGAGUGCGGUAGGGGAGAUUGGAAUUCCUGGUGUAGCGGUGGAAUGCCCAGAUAUCAGGAGGAACACCGAUGGCGAAGGCAGAUC